This 428-nucleotide ribosomal RNA is filed under the name uncultured bacterium. RNAcentral's name for it is "bacterial SSU rRNA". It matches the Rfam family "Bacterial small subunit ribosomal RNA", at positions 355 to 776 of the family's 1533-position model. The record is from RNAcentral.
UGGGGAAUAUUGGACAAUGGGGGCAACCCUGAUCCAGCGAUGCCGCGUGGGUGAAGAAGGCCUUCGGGUUGUAAAGCCCUUUAGGUUGGGAAGAAGGGUGUUGUAGGAAAUGACAACAUUUUGACGGUACCGACAGAAUAAGCACCGGCAAACUCUGUGCCAGCAGCCGCGGUAAUACAGAGGGUGCGAGCGUUAAUCGGAUUAACUGGGCGUAAAGGGCGCGUAGGCGGUAAGAGGAGUGUGAUGUGAAAGCCCCGGGCUUAACCUGGGAAGUGCAUCGCAAACGCUCUAACUAGAGUACAUGAGAGGGUGCUGGAAUUUCCGGUGUAGCGGUGAAAUGCGUAGAUAUCGGAAGGAACGUCGAUGGCGAAGGCAGGCACCUGGCAUGAUACUGACGCUGAAGCGCGAAAGCGUGGGUAGCGAACAGG